This 280-nucleotide unclassified non-coding RNA is filed under the name Hevea brasiliensis (rubber tree). The record is from RNAcentral. Lineage: Eukaryota; Viridiplantae; Streptophyta; Magnoliopsida; Malpighiales; Euphorbiaceae.
AGACCUGGUUCCUUCAAAUCAAUGAAAUCAUUCAAAGCUUCUAAAUCUUUUAACACUUACAGUUCUUUUAAGUUGACUGUUAAUGGUCAGAAUAGAACACAAUCAGAUGCAAAUCUGCUUGCAGGACUAGACCUUGAAGCUUUGAUUAAUAGGAAAAGGAAACCAUCUUAUGUGAGGAUUGUGAGCAAGCAAAUGGUUGGAGUUUUUCUUAGCGUAUGGGUUCGUAGGGGCCUAAGAAAGCAUAUACAGAAUUUGAAUGUAUCUACAGUCGGUGUUGGAG